RNAcentral lists this long non-coding RNA (434 nucleotides) under Homo sapiens (human). RNAcentral describes it as "HSALNT0393600". The record is from RNAcentral. Lineage: Eukaryota; Metazoa; Chordata; Mammalia; Primates; Hominidae.
GUCUACCAGUUGCCACUUCUGGUCCAUUUGCAUAUAACACUGGAGAAGUGUUCCUUUAUCUUUGUGAAGCCCUUAACAUUCAAGGAGCCACUACUGCUUCUAUGCUGCUGAAAAAUACAAGACACUGCCUCUACCUCUGCAUCUGUCCUUUGCUUUUUGCUUGGAAACUAUCACAUCAAAUCACACUGAGAUCAGGAGAUGAGAUGAAGGAUCAGCUGAGGAACAGUCAUCCCAACAGUAGUGCCUGUUCCUACUGAGCUCUCACUGGCAAACUAUCAGUAGAAGAAGCCUGGCUUCUUUCUCUGCUAGUGUUGGCGUCUCCCUGCUUUCUUCCUUUCAAAUGAUGGUAUUAGAUCUGUCUUUCUCUACUACGAGCUGCAAUGCCCCUGUUACAGAAAAAAAAGAUUUGAGGAGACAGCUUGAAGCACCAUGGU